RNAcentral lists this ribosomal RNA (374 nucleotides) under uncultured prokaryote. Its description in RNAcentral is "bacterial SSU rRNA". It matches the Rfam family "Bacterial small subunit ribosomal RNA", at positions 524 to 896 of the family's 1533-position model. The record is from RNAcentral.
UACGGAGGGUUCGAGCGUUAAUCGGAAUUACUGGGCGUAAAGCGUGCGUAGGUUUUUCGUUAAGUCAGAUGUGAAAGCCCUGGGCUCAACGUUGUCCCGGCAUUUGAAACUGGCGGACUAGAGUUUAGUAGAGGGGAGUGGAAUUUCAGGUGUAGCGGUGAAAUGCGUAGAUAUCUGAAGGAACACCAGUGGCGAAGGCGACUCCCUGGACUAGAACUGACGCUGAGGUACGAAAGCGUGGGUAGCAAACAGGAUUAGAUACCCUGGUAGUCCACGCCGUAAACGAUGUCAACUAGCCGUUGGUCCUAUUUACAGGAUUAGUGGCGCAGCUAACGCAUUAAGUUGACCGCCUGGGGAGUACGGCCGCAAGGUUA